This 391-nucleotide ribosomal RNA is filed under the name Pseudocalanus sp. RNAcentral describes it as "partial small subunit ribosomal RNA". It matches the Rfam family "Eukaryotic small subunit ribosomal RNA", at positions 582 to 975 of the family's 1831-position model. The record is from RNAcentral. Lineage: Eukaryota; Metazoa; Arthropoda; Copepoda; Calanoida; Clausocalanidae.
AUUCCAGCUCCAAUAGCGUAUAUUAAAGUUGUUGUGGUUAAAAAGCUCGUAGUUGGAUCUCGGCGGUCUGAGGGCGGUUCGCUUCAGAGCGCUACUGCCCUAUAGACCGUAGUUUUGCCAGAGGUCUCAGGGUGCUCUUAACCGAGUGUCUUGCGAUGCUGGCAGGUUUACUUUGAAAAAAUUAGAGUGCUCAAAGCAGGCUUUUACGCCUGAAUAUUCGUGCAUGGAAUAAUAGAAUAGGAAGUCGUUUCUAUUUUGUUGGUUUUCGGAAAUCGACUUAAUGAUUAAUAGGGACAGUUGGGGGCAUUAGUAUUUAAUUGUCAGAGAUGAAAUUCUUGGAUUAGUUAAAGACUAACGUAUGCGAAAGCAUUUGCCAAGGAUGUUUUCAUUG